CCAAUAGCGUAUAUUAAAGUUGUUGCAGUUAAAAAGCUCGUAGUUGAACUUCGGGGUUUACUCAUUGGUCAGGCUUAAUUGUCUGUACUGGUGAGAUGAAUCUCUACCUUCUGAGGAACUUUCAUGCCAUUUAUUUGGUGUGAUGGGAAAUCAGGACUGUUACUUUGAAAAAAUUAGAGUGUUUAAAGCAGGCUAACGUCUGAAUACAUUAGCAUGGAAUAAUGAAAUAGGACGGACUGAUUCUAUUUCGUUGGUUUCUAGGAUCACCGUAAUGAUUAAUAGCGAUAGUUGGGGGCAUUAGUAUUCAAUUGUCAGAGGUGAAAUUCUUGGAUUUAUUGAAGACUAACUACUGCGAAAGCAUUUGCCAAGGAUGUUUUCAUUAAUCAAGAACGAAAGUUAGGGGAUCGAAGACGAUCAGAUACCGUCGUAGUCUUAACCAUAAACUAUGCCGACUAGGGAUCGGAUGAUGUUAAUUUUUUAAUGACUCAUUCGGCGCCUUACG
Molecule: ribosomal RNA, 502 nt
Filed under: uncultured Glomeromycotina
Lineage: Eukaryota; Fungi; Glomeromycota
Description: partial small subunit ribosomal RNA
Rfam family: Eukaryotic small subunit ribosomal RNA
Source: RNAcentral